This 253-nucleotide ribosomal RNA is filed under the name uncultured bacterium. Its description in RNAcentral is "partial 16S ribosomal RNA". It matches the Rfam family "Bacterial small subunit ribosomal RNA", at positions 524 to 776 of the family's 1533-position model. The record is from RNAcentral.
UACGUAGGGUGCGAGCGUUAAUCGGAAUUACUGGGCGUAAAGCGUGCGCAGGCGGCUUUGUAAGCCGGAUGUGAAAUCCCCGGGCUUAACCUGGGAAUGGCAUUCGGGACUGCAAGGCUGGAGUGCGGCAGAGGAGACUGGAAUUCCUGGUGUAGCAGUGAAAUGCGUAGAUAUCAGGAGGAACACCGAUGGCGAAGGCAGGUCUCUGGGCUGACACUGACGCUCAUGCACGGAAGCGUGGGGAGCAAACAGG